This 438-nucleotide long non-coding RNA is filed under the name Parus major (Great Tit). Its description in RNAcentral is "lncRNA (ENSPMJG00000009910.1)". The record is from RNAcentral. Lineage: Eukaryota; Metazoa; Chordata; Aves; Passeriformes; Paridae.
CAAACCUCCAGAGGGAAAAUAAAAUUAAUCUAUUAAUUGCCUGGGAUUUCUCAAUGUAAUAAUGAGGUACAGCAGUGUGCCAUUCCUUCAGCUCAUCUUGGCUGCAAAGUAAGGCUGGGAAUACUUAAUAAGGUUGGGGAUUCAGGCCUUAUGAGAAAAUAGUUCUCGGUGAUGUUGUAGAAGAAGGAUGAUGGAGAAAAACUUAAGCUGGGGACCAGGAUGGACUGAGAGGAGAGCCUGAAAAAAAAUGACUCCAAGAAACUCUACCAGUGAUUCCAGUGGAAAAGACUGCCUGAAGGCUUUGCAGUGUAUUAGGUACAACCUUACUCUAGCUGCAGUGCAGAGCUGCAUCUCUGCAGGGCAUCUCAGGGGGAGACUUUGCAACGUAUAAGAAAUCAGCAAAAGCUUCUGCAGUGUGGAGAAGGGUGAUCACCACGG